CUUAUGGGGGCUUUAUGGGGUCCUAUGGGGUCCUUAUGAGGCUCCGGGGGCUCUAUGGGGUCCUUAUGGGGUCAUAUGGGUUCUUAUGGGGUCCUUAUGGGGUUCUAUGGGGUCUUUAUGGGGUCCUAUGGGGCUCUAUGGAGUCCUUAUGGGGCUCUAUGGGGUCCUUAUGGGGCCCUUAUGGGGUCCUAUGGGGUCCUAUGGGGGCUUAAAGGGGUCCUUAUGGGGUCCUAUGGGGGUUUAAAGGGGUUCUAUGGGGCCCUAUGGGGGCUUUAUAGGGUCCUAUGUGGUCCUAUGGGGUCCUUAUGGGGUUCUAUGGGGCUCUAUGGGGUCCUAUAGGGGCCUAAAAAGGUUCUAUGGGGUCCUAUGGGGUUCUAUGGGGUCUUUAUGGCGUCCUACGGGACUCUAUGGGGUCCUUAUGGGGUUUUAUGGGGUCUUAUGGGGUCCUAUGCGGCUCUAUGAGGUCUUAUGGGAUCCUAUGGGGUCCUAUGGGGUCCUAUGGGGUCCUAUGGGGUCCUAUGGGGUCUUAUGGGGUCCUAUGGGGUCCUCAUGAGGCUCUAUGGGGCUCUAUGGGGACCUUAUGUGGGAUUAAAAGGGUCUCAUGGAGUUCUAUGGGGUCUUAUGGGGUCCUAUGGGGUCCUUAUGGGGUCUUAUGGGGUCCUUAUGGGGCUCUAUGGGGUCCUAUGGGGUUCUAUGGGGGCUUCAAGUGGUCUUUAUGGGGUCUUUAUGGGGUCCUAUGGGGUCCUUAUGGGGCCCUAUGGGGUCUUUAUAGGGUCCUAUGGGGCUCUAUGGGGUCCUUAUGGGGGCUUAAAAGGGUCUUAUGGGGUUCUAUGGGGUCCUUAUGGGGUCCUUUGGGGGCUUAAAUGAGUCCUAUGGGACUCUAUGAGGUCUUUAUGGGGUCCUAUGGGGGUUUAAAGGGGUCCUAUAGGGUCCUUAUGGGGUCCUUAUGGGGAUCUAUGGGGGCUUUAUGGGGUCCUAUGGGGGCUUAAAGGGGUUCUAUGGGGUCCUAUGGGACUCUAUGGGGGCUUUAUGGGGUCCUAUGGGGUCCUAUGGGGUCUUAUGGGCUCCUAUGGGGUCCUUAUGGGGUUUUAUGGGGUCCAAUGGGGUCCUAUGGGGCUCUAUGAGGUCUUAUGGGGUUCUAUGGGGUCCUUAUGGGGUUCUUAUGGGGUCCCCAUGGGGUUCUAUGGGGUCCCUAUGGGGUCCUUGCGAGGCUCUGUGGGGCUCUAUGUGGUCUUUAUGAG
This is a long non-coding RNA of Gallus gallus (chicken), 1241 nucleotides long. The record is from Ensembl. NCBI's taxonomy places the organism in Eukaryota, Metazoa, Chordata, Aves, Galliformes, Phasianidae.